RNAcentral lists this long non-coding RNA (421 nucleotides) under Elaeis guineensis (African oil palm). RNAcentral describes it as "long non-coding RNA (EGUI_LNC070764)". The record is from RNAcentral. Lineage: Eukaryota; Viridiplantae; Streptophyta; Magnoliopsida; Arecales; Arecaceae.
GAUGUGCUACAUUGAAAGGUCAUAGACAACUUCAUAGCUACACCUUGUAUGCAUCAAGAUGUAUUGCAUAAGUUAUCAACAUAUGUGAAGAGGGUCUUUCACAGGUAAUAAUUUGCUGUAGAGAAUAGAAUCCCAACAACAAAAUGAUAUAGUAUGAAGAUCUUGAUGAAGUCUAAGACCUGCACUUCUUUGCUCCCCACUAGCUUGUAUAGGUGGUUUCGUAGCAUAUCAUUAGGAAGUGUAUUUUGUCCAUUUAAUAGACAGGUCAGCCAGUUAGACUUCUCCUUUCCCCUGUCAAACUCCACUUUAUCCCCGAAGAGAGGAAGGCCCAUACUUGAAUAAUGGUGCCACCAUUCUUUAGAGUUUGGUUCUUAGCGGACCACAUUAAAAGCUUUGUCUUGCUUGAUCAAGGAAGACCCAA